AAGCUCGUAGUUGAAUUUCGUGGUUCCACCGUUGGUCGGGCAAUAGUCUGUACUGGCGUGUAGAAUUUCUACCUUCUGGGGAACUAUCAUGUUAUUUAUUUAGCGUGGUAGGAAACCAGGACCUUUACCUUGAAAAAAUUAGAGUGUUCAAAGCAGGCUUACGUCUGAAUACAUUAGCAUGGAAUAAUAAAAUAGGACGGUGGUCCUGUUUUGUUGGUUUCUGAAUCACCGUAAUGAUUAAUAGGGAUAGUUGGG
RNAcentral lists this ribosomal RNA (255 nucleotides) under uncultured Gigaspora. Its description in RNAcentral is "partial 18S ribosomal RNA". It matches the Rfam family "Eukaryotic small subunit ribosomal RNA", at positions 624 to 886 of the family's 1831-position model. Lineage: Eukaryota; Fungi; Glomeromycota; Glomeromycetes; Diversisporales; Gigasporaceae. The record is from RNAcentral.